Molecule: RNA transcript, 2560 nt
Organism: Prunus avium (sweet cherry)
Lineage: Eukaryota; Viridiplantae; Streptophyta; Magnoliopsida; Rosales; Rosaceae
Gene: THIC
Gene name: thiaminC
Source: RefSeq, a predicted model, not a curated record
CUCCCUAUAAAAUGCUACAACGUAAUCCAAGACUCUACACUCAGAAUUGUCGUAGAAAUUUUCAGAAGAGAGAGAGAGAGAGAGAGUGAACAAGAUAAGACUGUGAAGAAGCCUUCUUCUACCAGCCCCAGGUUCCAGAGAUGGCAUUGGUGCAUAGUGCCCUGACAUCCGUUGUGUGCAAGAAUGGCAAUCAUUCUUCUGCCGCAAAGCUCCCGAGUACUACAUUCUUGCCUGGUUUUGAUGCUGUCGGGCGUAUUUCAAGUCCAUAUAAGAAGGAAAUAUGCCUCAAUGCCCUGAGUUCAGGUCCUAGAGCCACAUUAACCUUUGAUCCCCCAGCAACUAAUUCAGAGAAAGCCAAACCACCAAGGCACACAGUUGAUCCUGCUUCUCCUGAUUUUUUGCCUCUUCCAUCCUUUGAACAAUGUUUUCCAAAGAGCACAAAAGAACACAGAGAAGUUACUCAUGAAGAAACUGGUCAUGUGCUCAAAGUUCCCUUUCGACGAGUCCACUUGGCUGGCGAUGAACCAGCAUUUGACAACUAUGAUACCAGCGGUCCACAAAACAUUAGCCCACGCGUUGGACUACCUCAACUGCGGAAAGAUUGGAUUGAAAGGCGAGAUAAAUUAGGUGGACCAAGAUACACUCAGAUGUACUAUGCUAAGCAGGGAAUUAUAACUGAGGAAAUGUUGUACUGUGCCACUCGGGAGAAGCUUGAUCCAGAGUUUGUGAGAUCAGAAGUCGCUCGUGGGAGGGCAAUUAUCCCUUCUAAUAAGAAGCACUUGGAGCUGGAGCCAAUGAUUGUUGGAAGAAAGUUUCUAGUCAAAGUUAAUGCAAACAUUGGAAACUCUGCUGUUGCCAGCUCUAUUGAAGAGGAAGUUUACAAGGUCCAGUGGGCAACUAUGUGGGGUGCUGACACUGUUAUGGAUCUCUCUACAGGACGCCACAUACAUGAGACCCGUGAAUGGAUCCUACGUAACUCCCCUGUGCCAGUAGGGACUGUCCCCAUUUAUCAAGCACUUGAAAAAGUGAAUGGAAUUGCAGAAAAUCUCAACUGGGAAGUAUUCAGAGAAACUCUCAUUGAACAAGCUGAGCAGGGUGUAGAUUACUUCACCAUCCAUGCUGGGGUUCUACUACGGUACAUCCCAUUAACAGCAAAACGUAUGACAGGAAUUGUUUCACGAGGAGGAUCCAUUCAUGCAAAAUGGUGCUUAGCUUAUCACAAAGAGAAUUUUGCUUAUGAACAUUGGGAUGACAUACUUGACAUCUGCAAUCAAUAUGAUGUAGCCCUGUCAAUAGGUGAUGGGCUGAGACCUGGUUCCAUUUAUGAUGCCAAUGACACUGCACAGUUUGCAGAGCUCUUAACUCAGGGAGAACUGACCCGUAGGGCAUGGGAAAAGGAUGUACAGGUAAUGAAUGAAGGACCUGGACACGUUCCAAUGCACAAGAUUCCUGAGAACAUGAAAAAACAGCUUGAAUGGUGUAAUGAAGCACCUUUCUACACUCUCGGUCCUUUAACAACUGAUAUUGCACCUGGAUAUGAUCACAUCACCUCUGCCAUUGGUGCUGCCAACAUUGGUGCUCUAGGCACUGCCCUUCUCUGUUAUGUAACCCCAAAAGAGCACCUUGGGUUGCCAAAUAGAGAUGAUGUGAAGGCUGGAGUUAUAGCAUAUAAGAUUGCUGCUCAUGCAGCUGAUCUAGCCAAAGGUCACCCGCAUGCUCAAGCCUGGGAUGAUGCAUUGAGCAAGGCAAGAUUUGAGUUCCGGUGGAUGGACCAGUUUGCUUUGUCAUUAGACCCUAUGACUGCCAUGUCCUUCCAUGAUGAAACACUGCCAGCUGAUGGUGCCAAGGUGGCCCAUUUUUGCUCCAUGUGCGGUCCAAAGUUCUGUUCGAUGAAGAUAACAGAGGAUGUGAGGAAGUAUGCUGAAGAGCAUGGCUAUGGGAGUGCUGAGGAAGCUGUGAUACGUGGAAUGGAUGCUAUGAGUGCUGAGUUUCUUGCUGCCAAGAAAACUGUCAGUGGGGAACAACAUGGUGAAAUUGGAGGGGAAAUUUACUUGCCAGAAAGUUAUGUAAAAUCCGCAGAGAGGUGAAGGAUCGCAUAAAUAACCAGAAGCGGUUUGACAACCCUGGAUGGAGGCUUUCGUCCACGAUUGGCUUGUCCGCAACGGAGAUCUUAGGUUUUCAUUUUCAUGCUAUGGGGUGCCUGUAUCUGCUCGAGCACUAGCUUUUUGGCUAGGAUGCGAGCAAGCCAGGCUGAGAUAGUCCCUUUGAACCUGAACAGGUUAAUACCUGCGUAGGGAGUGUGCAUUUCUUUUUCCUGUUUCUUCUGUGCUUGCACAGGGAGAGAGAGGGCUUUCGUCCGGGGUUCGGGCUAGCUGAUAACAUCGUGGCCAAGCCGAUCAAUUGUGGCUGGGAGUAACUGAGUGGCAAUUCUGUGAUACUUUCUGUGAUUUAAGGGGGCUUUGCUAAACUCGAAAAUAAGGCCUAUAACUCCUCCAUCCACUUGCUAUCAAGUAUAUGCUGAACCUCAUUCUUUUGUUUUUUCUUGUCUAGUUCCUCAAAA